UACGGAGGGUGCAAGCGUUAUCCGGAUUUACUGGGUUUAAAGGGUGCGUAGGUGGAUUUGUAAGUCAGUGGUGAAAUCUCCGAGCUUAACUCGGAAACUGCCAUUGAUACUAUAAGUCUUGAAUUAUGUGGAGGUAAGCGGAAUAUGUCAUGUAGCGGUGAAAUGCUUAGAUAUGGCGUGGAACACCAAUUGCGAAGGCAGCUUACUACGGAUCGAUUGACACUGAGGCACGAAAGCGUGGGGAUCAAACAGG
RNAcentral lists this ribosomal RNA (253 nucleotides) under uncultured bacterium. Its description in RNAcentral is "partial 16S ribosomal RNA". It matches the Rfam family "Bacterial small subunit ribosomal RNA", at positions 524 to 776 of the family's 1533-position model. The record is from RNAcentral.